RNAcentral lists this ribosomal RNA (521 nucleotides) under uncultured bacterium. RNAcentral's name for it is "bacterial SSU rRNA". It matches the Rfam family "Bacterial small subunit ribosomal RNA", at positions 336 to 862 of the family's 1533-position model. The record is from RNAcentral.
CUCCUACGGGAGGCAGCAGUAAGGAAUAUUGCGCAAUGGGCGAAAGCCUGACGCAGCGACGCCGCGUGGGGGAUGAAGGUCUUCGGAUUGUAAACCCCUUUCGGGAGGGAAGAUGGAACGAGCAAUCGUUCGGACGGUACCUCCAGAAGCAGCCACGGCCAACUUCGUGCCAGCAGCCGCGGUAAUACGAAGGUGGCAAGCGUUGUUCGGAUUCACUGGGCGUACAGGGUGUGUAGGCGGUUUGGUAAGCCUUCUGUUAAAGCUUCGGGCCCAACCCGGAAAGCGCAGAGGGUACUGCCAGGCUAGAGGGUGGGAGAGGAGCGCGGAAUUCCCGGUGUAGCGGUGAAAUGCGUAGAGAUCGGGAGGAAGGCCGGUGGCGAAGGCGGCGCUCUGGAACAUACCUGACGCUGAGACACGAAAGCGUGGGGAGCAAACAGGAUUAGAUACCCUGGUAGUCCACGCCCUAAACUAUGGAUACUAAGUGUCGGCGGGUUACCGCCGGUGCCGCAGCUAACGCAUUA